UACGUAGGCAGCGAGCGUUGUUCGGAGUUACUGGGCGUAAAGGGUGUGUAGGCGGUUGCUUAAGUUUGGUGUGAAAUCUCCCGGCUCAACUGGGAGGGUGCGCCGAAUACUGAGUGACUCGAGUGCGGGAGAGGAGAGUGGAAUUCCUGGUGUAGCGGUGAAAUGCGUAGAUAUCAGGAGGAACACCGGUGGUGUAGACGGCUCUCUGGACCGUAAUUGACGCUGAGACACGAAAGCGUGGGUAGCAAACAGG
Molecule: ribosomal RNA, 253 nt
Filed under: uncultured bacterium
Lineage: Bacteria
Description: partial 16S ribosomal RNA
Rfam family: Bacterial small subunit ribosomal RNA
Source: RNAcentral